GCCGAAGUGGCGGAACUGGUAGACGCGCACGACUCAAACUCGUGUGUCUUCGGACGUGUGGGUUCGAUUCCCACCUUCGGUA
This 82-nucleotide transfer RNA is filed under the name Flavobacteriales bacterium. Its description in RNAcentral is "tRNA-Leu". It matches the Rfam family "tRNA". Rfam says of the family: Transfer RNA (tRNA) molecules are approximately 80 nucleotides in length. RNAcentral also lists the same sequence under 1 other name. Lineage: Bacteria; Pseudomonadati; Bacteroidota; Flavobacteriia; Flavobacteriales. The record is from RNAcentral.